UAGUCCACGCCCUAAACGAUGUUCACUCGAUGUUUGGCCCUUGCGGUUGAGCAUCCAAGUGAAAGCGAUAAGUGAACCACCUGGGGAGUACGUUCGCAAGAAUGAAACUCAAAGGAAUUGACGGGGGCCCGCACAAGCGGAGGAGCAUGUGGUUUAAUUCGAUGAUACGCGAGGAACCUUACCUGGGCUCAAAUGUAUUUUGACAACUCCCGAAAGGGAGCUUUUACUUCGGAACAAUUUACAAGGUGCUGCAUGGUUGUCGUCAGCUCGUGCCGUGAGGUGUCGGGUUAAGUCCCAUAACGAGCGCGAACCCCUAUUCUUAGUUGCCAUCCAGAUAAUGCUGGGGACUCUAAGAAAACUGCCUACGCAAGUAAGUGAGGAAGGUGGGGAUGACGUCAAAUCAGCACGGCCCUUACGUCCAGGGCUACACACGUGCUACAAUGGCCGAUACAGAGGGCAGCUACCUGGUGACAGGAUGCAAAUCUCGAAAAUCGGUCUCAGUUCGGAUCG
RNAcentral lists this ribosomal RNA (510 nucleotides) under uncultured bacterium. Its description in RNAcentral is "bacterial SSU rRNA". It matches the Rfam family "Bacterial small subunit ribosomal RNA", at positions 791 to 1300 of the family's 1533-position model. The record is from RNAcentral.